UGAAACCGUUCGGGGGUAAACGGACAGAGCCCGUGAAUCUGGACGGCGGAAUUCAGGAUAGACGGGCGCGCGCGCGCGCGUGUUGGUGUUUGCACGCCACCACCGUGUGUAGCGCGUUUUAGUCUGUUUGAUAUUUCCGUCGUCGUCGUCGUGUUGUGUUGUGUACAACAACAACAACGCGCACAGACGUUGCGACCUGUUCGACGUUGGUCCACGCUCGGAGGAGCCGUCACCGAGUUCGCCGCGGCGUCCGUUUCGGCGGCGUUUGCGACGAAGGUGCGCGGAUUAUAUAUUUUAUUAUAUAUAAUAUUCUGACCAACUUGUCUGGACGGUAAGUUGCACACACGGUAGCCGGCGUCGUUACGCUUUCGCGAGUACGCGGCGUCCGGUACUGGUCGGCAACGAUUUCAUCGGGCCU
This 418-nucleotide ribosomal RNA is filed under the name Cystococcus echiniformis. RNAcentral describes it as "partial large subunit ribosomal RNA". The record is from RNAcentral. Lineage: Eukaryota; Metazoa; Arthropoda; Insecta; Hemiptera; Eriococcidae.